Molecule: long non-coding RNA, 2332 nt
Organism: Myiozetetes cayanensis
Lineage: Eukaryota; Metazoa; Chordata; Aves; Passeriformes; Tyrannidae
Exons: 3
Source: RefSeq, a predicted model, not a curated record
ACAUCGUAAGCACAACCUGCAGUGAUGACCAACCAAGGUUUACAUAGCAGCCUCUGGGUUCUGCUUUGGGACCCUCUGGCUUUUUUGGGGACAGCAUCCAGGAUUAGAAGGGAACACCUGGGAACCAUCUGAGAAACCUGAGUGUGCUUCUGUUGAAGAGCCACCAGGCCAUGGGCCUGAGGGAGCCAUAGCAUCUUCUAGGGACCAUCACCAGCUGCCCCCUAUCAGGGAGGGUGAGGCACCCAUUUAGCAGCACCUGGGCAAGGUCUAUAUAAGAGGUAACUGGAGGAACCUCAGGGUACCACCACUUUUUGCAGGAUCUGAUGGAGGAAGGAGGGACUCAGGUAGGCCUGUUCCAGAAUAACCAGUCUCAGGUUUGGUGUGGUACACUGUGGGGCAGUUCCCUCAGCAGGUGCUGGAGCAGCUGCCCCUGCCAGGGGAAAGGUUUGGCCUUUCCCCUGCUGAAGAUUUGCUGUCUUGCAGGAGCCGUGGCACUGACUGAAGAGUUUUAGGAGGAAGUGAGCAGGCUGCACAACAACAGCAAAGGAGAUUUAUGGGAGAUUGACAGGACCUUGUCUGGGACUCAGCAGCCUGGAGAGCCUCAGCCCUGCCCUCUGCAACAGAGAAGCAGGCAGUGUUCACCUCCAUCCUCAAGGAGCAUGUGUACAAAGGGAAGCAUCUUUCACCAGGUCCUGAAGGAAGGCACCUUCCACCUAAUGGAUGCUGCUCCAGGCCUCAUUUCGGUCCCUGCACGAGCUCUGCUGCGAAGCAGGCAUGAAACAACCCACCUGGCUAAGAGAAUCCAACUGCAUUGGAAGAGACCUCCGAGAUCAUCAAGUGCAACCCUUGAUCCAACCCCACUGUGAUUACCAGAUCAUGGCACUCAGUGCCACAUCCAGCCUUCUCUUAAAAACCUCCAGGGACGGUGAAUCCACCACCUCUCUAGGCAGGACAUUGCAAUGCCGGAUCACUCUCUCUGUAGAGAACUUUCUAAUAUCCAACCUAAACCUCCCCUGGCAGUGCUUAGGCCCGUGCCCUCUUGUCCUACUGCUGACUGCCUGGGAGAAGAGACUGACUCAAAAAAAAAUAAACAACCCAAACUCUUUCUAUAUGAAUAAUCAAAUAUAUGCAGUAGAAUAGAAUUUUUAGAUUUAGAUAAAGGGGGAAAAAAACCCCAAAAUACUAAACCCACUAGGCCUCUACAAAGUAAAUUAAAGUACUUAGUGAAAGGAAAUUCUGGCAUAUACAGUGGCUUUAAAUUUCAAAUAUCCUUCAAGAAGUUAUUAAACAGAGACACUACUGCUGAGAAAGAGACAAAAUACAGCCAUAUUUUCUUAGUAUGUCUCUUACAAUUGCAAAAGAAGUAGUCAUUACAUUAGCUUAGUCUCAAAGUAAUUUUUCCAUUUUUAAUGCCUUAUGAUUAUUACAGGUUUUUAAAGAAGGCAGUAACUCGUAUGAACAAGCUAUUUGCAUUCCGAUUUUGCCUUUCUAGGUGUUUGUCAAACUAAGAGCCAUAUACUGGGCUUUACCCUAUUUGAACCUUCAUGGCUUUGCUGUAGGCUUCAGCCAGUAUUGCGGUAAACUGUGCAAGCGAAGAAAGGCAUUUGAAUCUCCCCAGAUUUGGCUCUCAAAUUUGAAGCAGAUGUGCCAAAGCUUAGAGCCUUCUAAAAUACUCUUCUGUUAGCCGGUCAAAAUUCUCUACAGAGUGUAUCUACUGUCUGCUUAAGGGAGCCGUCUAAAAUAUUCUUCUACCAGCUGGUCAAAAUUCUCUACAGAGUGUAUCUACUGUCUGCUUAAGGGAGCCGUCUAAAAUAUUCUUCUACCAGCUGGUCAAAAUUCUCUACAGAGUGUAUCUACUGUCUGCUUAAGGGAGCCGUCUAAAAUAUUCUUCUACCAGCUGGUCAAAAUUCUCUACCGAGUGUAUCUACCGUCUGCUUAAGGAAGCCAGCGAAUACUCCUCUGCAUGGCAGUCUCGCCCCUUUCACCUGACCCCUUUGGGAAUGAAUUUACGGAACACCCCCUUGAAGAUGGAUUUACAGAAGGACAUGUUGCUCUUCCUUCAAGGAAACUUAAUCUCUGCAAACGAAGUAUAUGAAGAGAGCAGAAUAGAACCAGGGGGCCUACAGGGAAGCCGGAGAGAAACUUCACGAGGUACUGUUGUGACGGGACAAGGAGUGAUAGGUACAGACUGAAAGAUGGGAAAUUCGGGUUAGGUAUUGGGAAGAAAUUUUUCCCUGUCAGGGUGGUGAGACACGGGAACAGGUUGUCCAAGGGAGGUUGUGGCUGCUCCACCCCUGGUACUGUUCAAAGGCAGGUUGUACGGGGGCUUAGU